AGUACUAAAACCCAUUGGUUUUUAUUUAGCAAUGUCUUCAUCGUAGGGGCUGUUUAUUUUUUCCCUUGGAAAAGCCAUAUCCGUUAUCUUCCUUCCGCUACAAAUCCCAUCCGAGCAGAUAAAAGCUCCUCACAGCUCCCGGGGCUGUGUCCACCCCCAAGCCCUGCUCACCUGCAUCCACUGAGGGGGGAGAUGGGGAGGAAGCCAGUCCUGGCAGAGUGCUGAACAUGCUGUGGGUCCAGGUGAGCUCCCUCCCAGUGGGAGCAUCCAAUGAAGGCUGCAGCAAAGAGUGGGUGGAAGAGCAGAGCCAGGAGCUGCACGGGCGCAGCAGCUUCCCGUCCUGAUGAGAAAGGCAAAGUUAUUUUGGGAACAUCAUGAAUGAAAACCGAGAGGUGACCCAGGCAGCCAUGAGGUGGGGGCAGCCAGAGACAACACUUCUACCCACAGAAGAUGCUCCGGAGGCUGUUCGCCUUUGAUUCCUUCUCCCCAGUGCAAUGAGGAGCAAUUAUCCUUCCCAUAAAAGACUCCUUCUUUUAGGGGACUCAUAGCGACUUCAAAGAAAGGGCAGGUCUCUCUGGGGAACAAAGUUGUCAUUUGAGUGAUUCUAGGCUGAUGAAAAGUGCCCGCCUGCUGCUGCCCGGCCCUCUGCUCCCACCCAGGCUUGGUUCAAAGCGAGCAGCCCCAGGGGAUGGUGCAUUCCAUGCAGUGAUCCCAUGCUGUGGGACCCCACCUCGGCCGGGACCUGCAGCUCUGAUGCUCACCUGGCAUUGCCCAUAGGGCUGAGCAGCAUUUUGGGGCUCACUCCUUGCAAACAGGAGCUGCUUCCCAGCUGCUGCUGUGGUUGUAGGUGGGAGGAUGGGCACAGUGACCCCAUACCCAAACAUUGCAGCAGCCUUGUGGGGAAGCAGCCUGGUUCCCCAAGCUCUCAGCACCCAAUUGCCUGCAGCCCCAUGGGAUGUGAUGCGCUGAAAGAGUCCCUGUUUCAUCCCUCACAUGCGGAAAGAAAGCACAAAGAAGUCACACAAGCACCAGCAGCUUUGCUGGAGCCACUUAGGGCUGUGCUACCCCACGCAGCGAUGGGAGGGAGCUGGGUUGCAAUGAGGCAGAAGGCACCAGAAAAGCAGGCUGGUUUCAGGUGUCCCGAGCGCUGCCGACCUGAUCUUAUCUCCAGCUCUGGGUAGGGGUUAUCUCUGCUUCCUGUGAUGAAAGCACCGUGAGAGACAGUGCUGGCAGGGGAGGUGAGGUGAAUGCCAUUUGGUAACACAGGUGUCUGACUUUACUUGCGACAAAGGCAGCCCCGAGGUGCAGAAAGACCCCUGUCCAACCUUGAGUCCCUGCCCCUAUUGCCCCCUGCAUCCCCACCUUGGGUGCAGGACACCUCUGCUCCCUCACCCCAGCUCCCCAUUGCUUUUGUACUGAUGAGUACUGAUGAUCUGCAACCUCCACCUGCCAUUUCCUCCAAGCUGGAAUUCCCAGCUCCUGGAUUCAGCCACCUCCACCUUUUGGUCGGAUUUCAGAGCCCAACAUUCUUUCUCAGGACCCAUUUUUCUCCCACUUCACGCAGUCCCAUCUCAACCCAGCGUUAGCAGUCAGCAGAGCUGAGGCUGCGAGCAGAAGCCUGGACGUGGUGGGGGAUGAGGCAACGAGGGGCUGGGAUGCAAAUCUUGGCAGAAACCUUCUCUGAGGCUUUCUGGCUCCCAGCAAUGCUCCAAUCUGCUAAUUGACUGCACGCAGCCCCGGCUGAGCUCUGACUUCCAGCUUGUGCAUCGCUCAGCACAGCCGCACGGAUGCGUGGGAUGCACAGCAUCCUCGUGUCACGUUUGUGGGGAACAAUGGGGCUGCUGAGCAAAGCCAGCCCUACAUGGGGACACUGCAGGCAUCACUCUGUGUCCCUGUCCCGUCCCCCACCUCCCCAGACAGCUGCAUAGGUUCAUUUCCCUGGCAAAUGAACAGCGGGGAAGGGGGCAAAUAAUGCUGGAGCCCAGGUGGCCCCUCUCACUGCCCAGUCCCAAUGGGAUACUGGCGGGGGGACAGGGAGAGAAAGGGGGAAUGAGUGGUCUGGGAGUGCUCGCUGGUGGGGAUUAAAGGCUCAAUCUUGAGAUGAGAGAAGGAAAUGAGAAUUAAAUCAGUUCCUAGCGCCUGUUCGGUGUUGGGGGAGGAUUUAUUGCUGGGGUCAGGACGGCAGCACAGC
This is a long non-coding RNA of Gallus gallus (chicken), 2191 nucleotides long. NCBI's taxonomy places the organism in Eukaryota, Metazoa, Chordata, Aves, Galliformes, Phasianidae. The record is from Ensembl.